Molecule: ribosomal RNA, 301 nt
Filed under: uncultured bacterium
Lineage: Bacteria
Description: partial 16S ribosomal RNA
Rfam family: Bacterial small subunit ribosomal RNA
Source: RNAcentral
CAGUCGCCGCGGUAAUACGAAGGGUGCAAGCGUUAAUCGGAAUUACUGGGCGUAAAGCGUGCGCAGGCGGUUAUGUAAGACAGUUGUGAAAUCCCCGGGCUCAACCUGGGAACUGCAUCUGUGACUGCAUAGCUAGAGUACGGUAGAAGGGGGUGGAAUUCCGCGUGUAGCAGUGAAAUGCGUAGAUAUGCGGAGGAACACCGAUGGCGAAGGCAAUCCCCUGGACCUGUACUGACGCUCAUGCACGAAAGCGUGGGGAGCAAACAGUAUUAGAUACCCCUGUAGUCCCUGUCUCUUAUAC